GAUGAACGCUGACAGAAUGCUUAACACAUGCAAGUCCACUUGAACUUCGGUUUGGGUGGCGGACGGGUGAGUAACGCGUAAAGAACUUGCCUCACAGCUAGGGACAACAUUUGGAAACGAAUGCUAAUACCUGAUAUUAUGAUUAUAUGGCAUCGUAUAAUUAUGAAAGCUAUAUGCGCUGUGAGAGAGCUUUGCGUCCCAUUAGCUAGUUGGAGAGGUAACAGCUCACCAAGGCGAUGAUGGGUAGCCGGCCUGAGAGGGUGAUCGGCCACAAGGGGACUGAGACACGGCCCUUACUCCGACGGGAGGCAGCAGUGGGGAAUAUUGGACAAUGGACCGAGAGUCUGAUCCAGCAAUUCUGUGUGCACGAUGAAGUUUUUCGGAAUGAAAAGUGCUUUCAGUUGAGAAGAAAAAAAUGACGGUACCAACAGAAGAAGUGACGGCUAAAUACGUG
Molecule: ribosomal RNA, 454 nt
Filed under: uncultured bacterium
Lineage: Bacteria
Description: partial 16S ribosomal RNA
Rfam family: Bacterial small subunit ribosomal RNA
Source: RNAcentral